This 512-nucleotide ribosomal RNA is filed under the name uncultured bacterium. Its description in RNAcentral is "partial 16S ribosomal RNA". It matches the Rfam family "Bacterial small subunit ribosomal RNA", at positions 28 to 523 of the family's 1533-position model. The record is from RNAcentral.
GAUGAACGCUAGCUACAGGCUUAACACAUGCAAGUCGAGGGGUAACGAGAGGAAAGCUUGCUUUCCUUGUCGACGACCGGCGCACGGGUGAGUAACGCGUAUCCAACCUGCCCCCAACUAGGGAAUAACCUUGCGAAAGUAAGACUAAUACCCUAUAGUUUCCUCAGAUGUCAUCUGACGAGGAAUAAAGAUUUAUCGGUUGUGGAUGGGGAUGCGUCUGAUUAGCUUGUUGGCGGGGUAACGGCCCACCAAGGCAACGAUCAGUAGGGGUUCUGAGAGGGAGGUCCCCCACAUUGGAACUGAGACACGGUCCAAACUCCUACGGGAGGCAGCAGUGAGGAAUAUUGCACAAUGGGGGAAACCCUGAUGCAGCAACGCCGCGUGAGUGAAGAAGGCCCUUGGGUUGUAAAGCUCUUUAGCGUGGGAAGAAGGUAGAUAUGGUGAAUAAUCAUGUUUGCUGACGGUACCACGAGAAUAAGCACCGGCUAAUUUCGUGCCAGCCGCCGCGGUAA